Molecule: ribosomal RNA, 305 nt
Filed under: uncultured bacterium
Lineage: Bacteria
Description: bacterial SSU rRNA
Rfam family: Bacterial small subunit ribosomal RNA
Source: RNAcentral
GGUUCCUACGGGAGGCAGCAGUGGGGAAUAUUGCACAAUGGGGGAAACCCUGAUGCAGCAACGCCGCGUGAGUGAGGAAGUAUUUCGGUAUGUAAAGCUCUAUCAGCAGGGAAUAGAAAAGAAGGUACCUGAAAAAGAAGCCCCGGCUAACUACGUGCCAGCAGCCGCGGUAAUACGUAGGGGGCAAGCGUUAUCCGGAUUUACUGGGUGUAAAGGGAGCGUAGACGGAAAGGCAAGUCAGAAGUGAAAGCCCAAGGCUCAACCAUGGGACUGCUUGUGAAACUGUCAAACUCGAGUACGGGGGG